RNAcentral lists this transfer-messenger RNA (385 nucleotides) under Minisyncoccota bacterium. It matches the Rfam family "transfer-messenger RNA". From Rfam's summary of the family: Bacterial tmRNA, also known as 10Sa RNA or SsrA, is named for its dual tRNA and mRNA-like properties. Lineage: Bacteria; Bacillati; Minisyncoccota. The record is from RNAcentral. RNAcentral also lists the same sequence under 1 other name.
GGGACUGCAAGGCAUAGACAGUAAGCCGUCGUGCUAGCAAUGCAUGUCGAGGAUGAACGCACGCUCGUUAAUAAGCGUUCAAAGCCUAAUUGCAAAAUUAGCAUCAGCUAAAGUAUCUUCAUACUUCAGUAUGAAGGACUUUACUCCAGCGUACGCUUUAGCGUAACUGGCGUCUUCUCCAUCGACUUCCGAUGCAUGGAUGAAGGUGUAAUAUUAUCGGGAUAAGGAAGUACCUGCUCACACACUUCACGAAAAUUUAGAGCUCGACCGAAAGAUAUUUUGUUCGUUUAAUAAUCUUUUGGUUUAAACAUUUAAACCAACUAAACAUGUAGAUUUGCUGGCGCACCCUUUCUGCACGGGGAUUCAAUUUCCCCCAGUUCCACAA